RNAcentral lists this ribosomal RNA (735 nucleotides) under uncultured organism. RNAcentral describes it as "SSU rRNA". It matches the Rfam family "Bacterial small subunit ribosomal RNA", at positions 43 to 780 of the family's 1533-position model. The record is from RNAcentral.
CGUGCCUAACACAUGCAAGUCGAGCGAGAAAUCUUGGAAUGAGACUUCGGUUAAGUGAAGAGAUGGAAAGCGGCGGACGGGUGAGUAACGCGUAGGCAACCUGCCUUAUGCAGAGGGAUAGCCAUUGGAAACGAUGAUUAAAACCUCAUAAAGCCAUUUUAUCACAUGGUGAGAUGGUCAAAGAUUUAUCGGCAUAAGAUGGGCCUGCGUCUGAUUAGCUAGUUGGUGGGGUAACGGCCUACCAAGGCGACGAUCAGUAGCCGACCUGAGAGGGUGAUCGGCCACAUUGGAACUGAGACACGGUCCAAACUCCUACGGGAGGCAGCAGUGGGGAAUAUUGCACAAUGGGCGAAAGCCUGAUGCAGCAACGCCGCGUGAAGGAAGAAGGUCUUCGGAUCGUAAACUUCUGUCCUUGGGGAAGAUAAUGACGGUACCCUUGGAGGAAGCCCCGGCUAACUACGUGCCAGCAGCCGCGGUAGUACGUAGGGGGCAAGCGUUAUCCGGAAUUAUUGGGCGUAAAGAGUGCGUAGGUGGUUACCUAAGCAGGGGGUGAAAGGCACUGGCUUAACCAAUGUCAGCCCCCUGAACUGGGUACCUUGAGUGCAGGAGAGGAAAGCGGAAUUCCUAGUGUAGCGGUGAAAUGCGUAGAUAUUAGGAGGAACACCAGUGGCGAAGGCGGCUUUCUGGACUGUUACUGACACUGAGGCACGAAAGUGUGGGGAGCAAACAGGAUUA